Cannabis sativa is the source of this 265-nucleotide long non-coding RNA. RefSeq lists it as uncharacterized. The transcript has 3 exons. The record is from RefSeq and is a predicted model, not a curated record. Lineage: Eukaryota; Viridiplantae; Streptophyta; Magnoliopsida; Rosales; Cannabaceae.
GCAAGAAGAAGUGGAUACAAAACAUUGAGGAGCUUGGACAGGAGAGGGCCGACAUGUCACCUCCUGAGGGAGUAACUCAAGAGGUGUGGAGUGACUGCAUCGCUUAUUGGAGCACAGACAAACAAAAGGCGAGAGCAGCGAAAAAUAAAGAAAGUCGGGGUAAGAUGAAAUUUCUAGGAGGCUGGGGCUCCAAGCCUAUUGUUUCACAUGUUGUCGAGGGGGCUAACCCCGACACAGGAGAACUGCCAACUGCGGUGGAAACUUU